AUGACCUGCCCAAGGUCACAGCAGUGGAGAUGCGAUACAAGAAGCCGUGCUCAGAGUGCUGUAUGCGAUGAUGCUGAAUUUCCUCCAGAUGGAAAAGUGAUGAUGGCAAUGUGGUCACCAGCGAUAGAGCUGAGAAAAUAUAAUCCCUCCUUUAUAUGA
This 159-nucleotide long non-coding RNA is filed under the name Cricetulus griseus (Chinese hamster). Its description in RNAcentral is "lncRNA (ENSCGRG00000025827.1)". The record is from RNAcentral. Lineage: Eukaryota; Metazoa; Chordata; Mammalia; Rodentia; Cricetidae.